UCUCUUUCUUUCUCUCUCUCUUUCUUUCUCUCUCUCUUUCUCUCUCUCUUUCUUUCUCUCUCUCUUUCUUUCUCUCUCUCUCUCUUUCUCUUUCUCUCUCUCUCUCUCUGUUUCUCUCUCUCUCUCUGUUUCUCUUUCUCUCUCUCUGUUUCUCUCUCUCUCUCUCCACAACAAUGCUGGAUCCUUUAACCCACUGUGCCAGCCUGUGGAUUGAAUCCACACCUCCAGAGGAACCCAAGCCGCUGCUGCAGUCACUUUUUUUUUUUUUUUUUUUUUGGCUUCCCAGUGGCAUAUGGAGAUCCUGGGCCAGGGAUCAGAUCUGAGCCACAACUAUGACCUUAAAGCACAGCUGCAGCAAUGCCAGAUCCUUAACCCACUAUGCCAGGCUGGGGAUCAAACCUGUGUCGCAGCACUCCCAAGACACCCCCGAUUCUAUUGUGCCACAGCAGGAACUCCUACAGUAAGAUUCUUAACCCACUGCACCACAGUGGGAACUCCGUAAUUUAAUUUUUAAUUUAAUCUAAAUUAAUUUAAAUAUUCACACAUGUCUAGUGGAGCCAUAUUAUAUAUAAAACAUCAAAUUCUGCUCUCAAUCCUCCUUUCAAACCCCAAGUCUAGUGGCUUUCCCCCUUCUCUCACUAUUCCUUAUUAUGAGGGUCAAUUUAGUUUUUCUUCUUACUUGAUGGUCUGUCACAGCAGAGGGUGGGGGGGUUGGGACAUGGAGAGUGGGGAUAAAUAGAAAAGUUGACUGAACAAAGACACUUCCCUGUUUGUUUGUUUGUUUUUUAUAGAGUGUCAGAUACUGUUCUAAGCAUUCUAGGAGGGUUAUUUUACUUAAUUCACAUAAAAUUCCUUCAAAUAAGUACCGUUAUCAUUUCUACUUUUUACAUGCAGCACCUGAACCACAGAGAGCCUUGCAAUGGGCAAAGAGCUAGAACAGGACAGAACUGGGCCAAGUUCACAUUGUAAACCACUGUGCCAUAGUGUCCCCUGGUAUCAUCAUAUCUUUUUCAGCUGAGGGACUUGAGAUGUCAUUAGUUUCCUUCCAAUGCUUGAGAGCUGGAAGCAGGUGCUUCUGGAAUUUGGGGAUUAUUAAUAAAAAAGAAUGAAAUAAUGCCAUUUGCAGCAACAUGGUUUGACCUAGAGAUGAACAUACUAAGUGAGGUAAGUCAGACAAAGACAAAUACCAUAUGAUAUCACUUAUAUGUAGACUCUAAUAAAAAUAGGAUAAAAGAACUUAUUUAUAGAGCAGAAACAGACUCAACAGAUCUCAAAAUCAAACAUAUGGUUACCAAAGGGGAAAUGUGUCAGGGGAGAUUAAUUAGCAAAUUGGGAUUAACCUAUGUACACUACUAUGUAUAAAAUAGAUAACUAACAAAAACCUACCAUAUAGCACAGGGAAAUCUACUCAAUAUUCUAUAACAACCUAUAUGGGAAACAAAUCUGAAAAAGAAUGGAUAUAUGUAUAAUUGAUUCAUUUUGCUAUAUACCUGAAACUAACACAACAUGCUAAGUCAAAUAUACGCCAAUGAAAUUAAAAAAAUUAUUGAGUGCCUUUGUUCAAAUAAGCAUGUCAAUUCUCCGCCUUACAUCAGGAUCCUGAGGGAGUAGAGCGCAGAACAGCAAAGUGUUGAUGUGCACUGGAGAAAAGUGAAGAAAUCCAAGGGUUGCAAAUAUUUUCAAUGACCAUGUCAUUUUCUAGGUCAAAAACCUUCAGUGGUUCUGAGUAGUCUCUGCAUCAAAUGGAAACUCCCAGCCUGAAAUCUGUGUCCAACUUACCACUGUGACUUCAUCUUCCACUCCUUGGGUGCCUAAACCCUUUGUUUCACAUGUUUCUAUUACCCACUAGUCUCUGAGUUAUUCUUAUACCUGUCUCCCUGCCUUAUUAACUUGUGAUUGAAGCAUCUUUCCCACUAGGACAUAGGGUGUUCACUCUUUAUUCAUCUUUCCAAUCCUCCCUCUCCCUUAAGCCUGGACAGAAGAUACCAACCUAGUAGAGUGUGAGUGAUCUCCUUUCUAUCUCACCGGUACUGAGCUGGCUUAUAUCCACUUUACCCAGACCACCACAGUCCCUUAACUGCUUCUUCCCUACAAUACAGCUUCAAAAAUUCUUCCCAUAGCUUCUAGCUUGAUUUUCUUAGCAAAGCUUAGCAGCUCAAGUUUUUUACACUUUCCCUGCUACAUGGUAAUAGCAAUGUUUCGUGACUUUCUUGAUCCAUGGUCUUCUUGCCUUUUCCCAAGCAAACUGGGUGCUUCUUUCCCUGAGACUUUGCAAGCACUGGCCUGUAAAAUGCCUGGGAUUCUCCGACUCCAGGUGUUUUCAGUGGCUGGCUCCUGCACUGCAGGAAAGUUUGUGCUCAAAUGUCUCCCUCUUAGAGAGGCCUCCCAUGAGCAGCCUAUUUAAUCUAGCUCCUCGUUAGUCCAUUUUCCCUUACUUUGCUUUAUUUUCCUUUGAAGCAUUUAUCAUUACCUAACAUUAUAUAGCUAUUUUGUUUGUAAUUGCUUAUUAGAAUGUAAUUUAGCCCAUUAUUAUUUAUUUUAUUCACUACUGUCCCAAGCACCUAGAAGCAUGUCUAGAACCCAAUAAACAUUUGUGCUUUUUUUUGUUUGUUUGUUUUUGUCUUUUUGCCUUUUCUACGGCCACUCCCGUGGCAUAUGGAAGUUCCCAGGCUAUGGGUCUAAUCAGAGCUGUAGCCGUCGGCCUAUGCCAGAGCCACAGCAACGUAGGAUCCGAGCCGCGUCUGCAACCUAUACUACAGCUCACGGCAACGCCGGAUCCUUAACCCACUGAGCAAGGCCAGGGAUUGAACCCACAACCUCAUGGUUCCUAGUCGGAUUCGUUAAUCACUGAGCCACGACGGGAACUGCCCCAAUAAACAUUUGUUAAAUGAAUGGGAAAAUGUGAAAAAGAAACGAGAAUAGCUUUAUUAAUCUAACAGCACAGUUAUAAGAGACAGAAUCUUAGGAUGGCAAAAAUUUAUUUGUAAGUAGAAACAACAUAUAUACUUUAUGAGUGUUGUUUCUAUGGAGUUGUAUUUCCCAAAAUGUGCUCUAUUCAUUGUGCAAAAUAUCAUGCAGACAAAAAAGAUUAGUAAAUGUUGCAUUCUGUAUCCAUUUCAUAGGAUUCACUCUGCACCCUACCCAUAUGAAGGUUCUGAGCAGUCCUGCAGUAAGUGAACUGGAUUAGUUUACUUUAAAAAUAUCUUAAACGUAUAUCAGAACAGAAUCCCUUCUGCUAAGAGCCCCUUAGUUGGGAUAGUCACCUGACAUGCAAUAAUUGCACCCCACUUUCUUCUGAUACAGACUCUGUGUAUCCUGGGACAGGAGUAGGCAGGCUUGUGACCCAUGCUGGACCUAUCUUAGUGGCUCAGGAUUUGUACAGAGAGUAGACACAUGAACCAAGCCUGGCCAAUCAGGACAUCCGUGAGAAUUAAAGGCUGAAACUGGGAGACAGACUUCACCUGUCUCUUAAUUCAUGGAUCUAAUGUUUUAACUUUUAAGCAGCCUGUUCUAUUCUGUUAGCUAUAUGAAAAAUCCUGUGUAUGGCAGGAGAGAAGACAAUUCAAAGACAAAUCUAUGUGUGAGAUGUAGGGAAAGAGAGGAGGACAGAGCAGAUACUAACCAUAGGUCAUUUAUGCCUUUAAAUCCACUCAUCCCUGAAGGAAGGGAUGUUUCUUAUGUUUUGUUAUAUAAGAAAAUGUAUCCCCCAACCCCCAGCCUUUUUUGACUGGUUCACUAAUACACAUCCAACACCAUUUUUUUUUUUUUUUGGCUGAAUAUGCUUUGGGAAAUCCUGCCCUGUGGCAACCUCGGCAAUAAACCUGAGCUGUUGACCAAUGUACUCAAAGUUAAAGGACAACAAAUAACCAACUAAUGAACCAGAACAAAUGACACCCUUGUUUCUGAAUAAUAUACAGAUCUUAUAAACAUAGAUCUACUUCCUGAAUGAAAACCGCAUAGACUCUUAGCUUCAAGUUGGAGCACGUUGUUCAGACAUGCAUGAUAUUGUGCAAAGAUCAGAGCAAGCAUUACGCACAUUUUGUAGUACACAAUUCCUAGGGAUGGCAAGGUGAUGUCAUAGGAUGGGGUGGGUGCUGUUUACAGCAGUCUCUGGAGUCAUUUUAGUCUGGCAAACCUGGCUAUGCGGCUUCUCCAUACCUCUGUUAUCUUCUACCCUGGAAAGCAAGACACUUGCCUAACACCUCUUCAUGUCCUCCAACAGUGCCUCACCCAGAGAGGGAGUUUAAUUCAUGUUUGUGGAUUGAAUGAAACUCAGACUGAGUCCUGUUCCUUAUUAACGUGGUUAUAGUCCAGGCUGACUUAAGGAAUUCUUAAUAAAAUUUAUUUUUAGCACAUUACUUCAUGAAUGCUAUCCUUGUAGAUUCAUAUAUAUUCAGUGGACGCUUUUGAGAAAUCUAAAAAUACCGUCCCUUGGCGUUGGCCCUAGAACAGUGUGCUGCCUUGACAUAGCCAUAACAGUCCCACCAUAUGGGAGGAAACCUGGGUACUUUCAAACACACUCUUCUUUUAGGAUCAAGUCUGCUGUCGUCGCUCGGGCUUGCAGCCUCCUGAACCUCUUUAUUUAGGUUCCAAGUUCCACAGCUAUUAUUUCAUAGGUAGAGGGAUUUUUAAACAGCUUGUAGUUUUGGCUUUUCACCACUAGAGUUCAAUCUUGCUCUUAUCUAGACUGCCACAGCUGAAAAAUAAAACAGCAACCCCCAACACAAAACAUACAAAAAAUUCCCAAAGUGCUUUCUCUAAUUCAAAUCCUGACCUUUGGCUUCUGAGAGCUGACUUUAUUAAUGUGCCUUUUCUUUAUGACACACUUAAGAUUUCCUGGCUGGUAUUGUCAUCAAGUAUAAAAUUCUUGAAUGCCUUUGUUACAAGUAAAUUUUCAAUGUUUGGUAAAUAAUUUCCUUUUUGAUUCAGUUUGCUUAUUUCUAAAUACAAUCUUCAGCUGUAAUUACCUGGCUGACUUAUGGGAGAUUAUGCUUCUGGUCAGUGGAACUUGGAGACUCAUGGCAGGGGAAUGAGAGCUACAGUAAACACAAUUGCUCUUCUGGGUCUCAAAGUAAUCAUUCAUUUUUAAAAGAAUUUUUCAAAUUUUUUUUUUAUUUUUCCAUGAGCCAAGUUUUUCCAACUUCAAAAAUUAUUACUGCAGUUUUUCCCCUCCUUGGUACCCAUCGUCUUCAGAUAUAUUUCUGAUGAGGCUCAAAUCCCAAACUUUGCUUCCUAUAUAAGCAGUGUCUACAAAAACUUUCAUAUGUGCCUGGAUCACCUCAAUCAAAUGAAUUGAGAACAUGCAGUCUUAUGGGAUGCAGACACAUAUGUAUCAUUAUUCUAGUUUCUUAGGUCCCUCCUCUUUUUCUU
This 5370-nucleotide long non-coding RNA is filed under the name Sus scrofa (pig). RNAcentral describes it as "lncRNA (ENSSSCG00040066249.1)". Lineage: Eukaryota; Metazoa; Chordata; Mammalia; Artiodactyla; Suidae. The record is from RNAcentral.